RNAcentral lists this ribosomal RNA (804 nucleotides) under Bacillus sp. LKS-62. RNAcentral's name for it is "bacterial SSU rRNA". It matches the Rfam family "Bacterial small subunit ribosomal RNA", at positions 49 to 835 of the family's 1533-position model. The record is from RNAcentral. Lineage: Bacteria; Bacillati; Bacillota; Bacilli; Caryophanales; Bacillaceae.
CUAUACAUGCAAGUCGAGCGAAUCGANGGGAGCUUGCUCCCUGAGAUUAGCGGCGGACGGGUGAGUAACACGUGGGCAACCUGCCUAUAAGACUGGGAUAACUUCGGGAAACCGGAGCUAAUACCGGAUACGUUCUUUUUUCGCAUGAGAGAAGAUGGAAAGACGGUUUACGCUGUCACUUAUAGAUGGGCCCGCGGCGCAUUAGCUAGUUGGUGAGGUAAUGGCUCACCAAGGCGACGAUGCGUAGCCGACCUGAGAGGGUGAUCGGCCACACUGGGACUGAGACACGGCCCAGACUCCUACGGGAGGCAGCAGUAGGGAAUCUUCCGCAAUGGACGAAAGUCUGACGGAGCAACGCCGCGUGAACGAAGAAGGCCUUCGGGUCGUAAAGUUCUGUUGUUAGGGAAGAACAAGUACCAGAGUAACUGCUGGUACCUUGACGGUACCUAACCAGAAAGCCACGGCUAACUACGUGCCAGCAGCCGCGGUAAUACGUAGGUGGCAAGCGUUGUCCGGAAUUAUUGGGCGUAAAGCGCGCGCAGGUGGUUCCUUAAGUCUGAUGUGAAAGCCCACGGCUCAACCGUGGAGGGUCAUUGGAAACUGGGGAACUUGAGUGCAGAAGAGGAAAGUGGAAUUCCAAGUGUAGCGGUGAAAUGCGUAGAGAUUUGGAGGAACACCAGUGGCGAAGGCGACUUUCUGGUCUGUAACUGACACUGAGGCGCGAAAGCGUGGGGAGCAAACAGGAUUAGAUACNCCUGGUAGUCCACGCCGUAAACGAUGAGUGCUAAGUGUUAGAGGGUUUCC